GAAUCACCAGCUCUGGGGAAGCUGCAGCCAUCCUGGGUUUCUCAGGCAACCUCGAGACAAAGCACUGAGAUUCCAGCCAUGACCACAUGAGGCGGCCACGCCCUCUGCUAACGGAGGUCAUCCUCUGGACGACCACAGCGCUGGCAAUGAUAGGGCCUGAGCUAGAACCAACUGAAAUGAUUUCUUCUGUGUUACUUGGUCGCUCAACCAGGAAAGAGGAACUCUUUCUACUCUUUAUCAUCUGCUAUUUACUCAGUGCAAAAUGCAGUGCCCAGCGCCUGGAAAGUCCCGCGAGCAAACUGGAAAUUCUGGCUCCUGGGGGGAUCUGUUCACAGAAUUUUAUUUUCACUGGUUGUCGAGAGAAUCGUUAAGAUUGCAUAGUUUAGGGUUUCCAUUUUUGUGUGUUUUAUAGUUUUAUGGUAUUAAGAGAACUGCAAAUUUGUGUUAGUGCAGUGAGAUUAAGAUAA
Odocoileus virginianus texanus is the source of this 467-nucleotide long non-coding RNA. RefSeq lists it as uncharacterized. The record is from RefSeq and is a predicted model, not a curated record. Lineage: Eukaryota; Metazoa; Chordata; Mammalia; Artiodactyla; Cervidae.